AAAAUCCGUCGACUUUAAAAAUCGUGAGGGUUCAGU
RNAcentral lists this transfer RNA (36 nucleotides) under Rhinanthus major. RNAcentral describes it as "partial tRNA-Leu". The record is from RNAcentral. Lineage: Eukaryota; Viridiplantae; Streptophyta; Magnoliopsida; Lamiales; Orobanchaceae.